GAUGAAGAACGUAGCAAAAUGCGAUACUUGGUGUGAAUUGCAGAAUCCCGUGAACCAUCGAGUUUUUGAACGCAAGUUGCGCCCGAAGCCUUUUGGCCGAGGGCACGUCUGCCUGGGCGUCACGCAUCGCGUCGCCCCCCACAAUUCUCCGUAAAGGGAACAUGUGUUUUGGGGGCGGAUAUUGGUCUCCCGUGCUCAUGGCGUGGUUGGCCGAAAUAGGAGUCCUUUCGAUGGACGCACGAACUAGUGGUUGUCGUAAAAACCCUCGUCUUUUGUUUCGUGCUGUUGCUCGCAAGGUAAACUCUUUAAAAACCCCAAUGUGUCGUCUCUUGACGACGCGUCGACCGCGACCCCAGGUCAGGCGGGACUACCCGCUGAGUUUAAGCAUAUCAAUAAGCGGAGGA
RNAcentral lists this unclassified non-coding RNA (404 nucleotides) under soil metagenome. Its description in RNAcentral is "partial contains 5.8S ribosomal RNA, internal transcribed spacer 2, and large subunit ribosomal RNA". The stretch from base 1 to 122 matches the Rfam family "5.8S ribosomal RNA", at positions 35 to 154 of the family's 154-position model. The record is from RNAcentral.